UUGCCUGUUUUGGCACUAGCACAUUUUUGCUUUUUUAUAUAUACGCUGAGCAAUCAUGUGUAGUGCCAAUAUGGGACA
Molecule: non-coding RNA, 78 nt
Organism: Cyprinus carpio (common carp)
Lineage: Eukaryota; Metazoa; Chordata; Actinopteri; Cypriniformes; Cyprinidae
Source: Rfam